Molecule: ribosomal RNA, 253 nt
Filed under: uncultured bacterium
Lineage: Bacteria
Description: partial 16S ribosomal RNA
Rfam family: Bacterial small subunit ribosomal RNA
Source: RNAcentral
UACGUAGGGUGCAAGCGUUAUCCGGAAUUAUUGGGCGUAAAGAGCUCGUAGGCGGUUUGUCGCGUCUGCCGUGAAAGUCCGGGGCUUAACCCCGGAUCUGCGGUGGGUACGGGCAGACUAGAGUGCAGUAGGGGAGACUGGAAUUCCUGGUGUAGCGGUGAAAUGCGCAGAUAUCAGGAGGAACACCGAUGGCGAAGGCAGGUCUCUGGGCUGUAACUGACGCUGAGGAGCGAAAGCGUGGGGAGCAAACAGG